RNAcentral lists this ribosomal RNA (491 nucleotides) under uncultured bacterium. Its description in RNAcentral is "partial 16S ribosomal RNA". It matches the Rfam family "Bacterial small subunit ribosomal RNA", at positions 29 to 507 of the family's 1533-position model. The record is from RNAcentral.
AGUGAACGCUGGCGGUAGGCCUAACACAUGCAAGUCGAACGGCAGCACAGUAAGAGCUUGCUCUUACGGGUGGCGAGUGGCGGACGGGUGAGGAAUACAUCGGAAUCUACUUUUUCGUGGGGGAUAACGUAGGGAAACUUACGCUAAUACCGCAUACGACCUACGGGUGAAAGCAGGGGAUCUUCGGACCUUGCGCGAUUGAAUGAGCCGAUGUCGGAUUAGCUAGUUGGCGGGGUAAAGGCCCACCAAGGCGACGAUCCGUAGCUGGUCUGAGAGGAUGAUCAGCCACACUGGAACUGAGACACGGUCCAGACUCCUACGGGAGGCAGCAGUGGGGAAUAUUGGACAAUGGGCGCAAGCCUGAUCCAGCCAUACCGCGUGGGUGAAGAAGGCCUUCGGGUUGUAAAGCCCCUUUGUUGGGAAAGAAAAGCAGCAGGUUAAUACCCCGCUGUUCUACGGUACCCAAAGAAUAAGCACCGGCUAACUUCGUG